This 457-nucleotide ribosomal RNA is filed under the name uncultured Pseudomonas sp. Its description in RNAcentral is "bacterial SSU rRNA". It matches the Rfam family "Bacterial small subunit ribosomal RNA", at positions 924 to 1382 of the family's 1533-position model. The record is from RNAcentral. Lineage: Bacteria; Pseudomonadati; Pseudomonadota; Gammaproteobacteria; Pseudomonadales; Pseudomonadaceae.
CACAAGCGGUGGAGCAUGUGGUUAAUUCGAAGCAACGCGAAGAACUUACCAGGCCUUGACAUGCAGAGAACUUCCAGAGAUGGAUUGGUGCCUUCGGGAACUCUGACACAGGUGCUGCAUGGCUGUCGUCAGCUCGUGUCGUGAGAUGGUUGGGUUAACGUCCCGUAACGAGCGCAACCUUGUCCUUAGUUACCAGCACGUUAUGGUGGGCACUCUAAGGAGACUGCCGGUGACAAACCGGAGGAAGGUGGGGAUGACGUCAAGUCAUCAUGGCCCUUACGGCCUGGGCUACACACGUGCUACAAUGGUCGGUACAAAGGGUUGCCAAGCCGCGAGGUGGAGCUAAUCCCAUAAAACCGAUCGUAGUCCGGAUCGCAGUCUGCAACUCGACUGCGUGAAGUCGGAAUCGCUAGUAAUCGUGAAUCAGAAUGUCACGGUGAAUACGUUCCCGGGCCUU